This 402-nucleotide long non-coding RNA is filed under the name Calidris pygmaea (Spoon-billed sandpiper). RNAcentral's name for it is "lncRNA (ENSCPGG00000001512.1)". The record is from RNAcentral. Lineage: Eukaryota; Metazoa; Chordata; Aves; Charadriiformes; Scolopacidae.
GCCCGGGGGAGCGGGGCAGGGCGCCGCGGGGCGCGGGAAUCCCGCGGCGCGGUGGGCCGGCGGGGCGGGGCCGGGGGCGGAGCCGGCGGCGGGGACGCGGAAGUCGGCGGCGGCAGCGCAGGUGGACGGCGGCGGGGGUGAGCUGAGGGCGAUGCGGCUGCCCGGGCUGUUCGGGCGGCUGAAGGCGGCGGUCGUCGGGGUGGUUCAUGUGGGAGCGCUGCCAGGGACACCAAGAAGUUGUCUUCCUUUGACCCAGAUCAUUGAUCAAGCUUGUCAAGAGGCAGCAGCUUACAUGGAUGCUGGAGUUGUAAGUUUUGGUUUCCUUCUUCCUAUGGCAACAUUUACACAAAGCUGCUUCUGCAUAGCCAAUAUUUUAGAUUGAGUCUGUAAUUCUUCAAAAGC